This is a non-coding RNA of Schistosoma mattheei, 46 nucleotides long. Lineage: Eukaryota; Metazoa; Platyhelminthes; Trematoda; Strigeidida; Schistosomatidae. The record is from Rfam.
GCACUACUGAGGAGUCCUACAGUAGGACGAAACGACCGUCUAGUAU